GGGGAUGUAGCUCAGUGAUAGAGCAUUUGUCUAGCAUACAUGAGGCCCUGGGUUUGAUUCCCAGCACCA
Molecule: transfer RNA, 69 nt
Filed under: Heterocephalus glaber (naked mole-rat)
Lineage: Eukaryota; Metazoa; Chordata; Mammalia; Rodentia; Bathyergidae
Rfam family: tRNA
About the family: Transfer RNA (tRNA) molecules are approximately 80 nucleotides in length. Their secondary structure includes four short double-helical elements and three loops (D, anti-codon, and T loops).
Source: Rfam by way of RNAcentral